ACACAAAGAAGAAGAGGAACAUAUAUUGAUUCUGGGUCAAUCCCUCAUAGUUUUGUUGACGGUAUAUUUUUCUCUCCUCUGCGGCACAAGUUUGAGGUCCAAAAUGAACCAAAUGCAGAUCCUACCCGACCUAAAAAUCCUCAGCAUUCAUCUAAAAAGCUCUAUGACCAGAGGCAUAUUAAAAUGUGAAAAAAUCAACUCAUCAACUUACAGUGUUGAAUUCAAAUGUCAAUCGUGCUCGUUCCUGUUGUGUAUCCUCAAUCUGGCAACCCACUCAUUAUUACAUACUGCACCUUUAAAGGGGGUAAACUUCGUCUGGAACAUUUCAUUAGUUGAAGGGAUUUCACAA
Long non-coding RNA from Cyprinus carpio (common carp), 349 nucleotides. RefSeq lists it as uncharacterized. The transcript has 2 exons. Lineage: Eukaryota; Metazoa; Chordata; Actinopteri; Cypriniformes; Cyprinidae. The record is from RefSeq and is a predicted model, not a curated record.